This 72-nucleotide transfer RNA is filed under the name Nanobdellota archaeon. Its description in RNAcentral is "tRNA-His". It matches the Rfam family "tRNA". Rfam says of the family: Transfer RNA (tRNA) molecules are approximately 80 nucleotides in length. Their secondary structure includes four short double-helical elements and three loops (D, anti-codon, and T loops). The record is from RNAcentral. Lineage: Archaea; Nanobdellati; Nanobdellota.
GUCGGUGUAGUGUAGCGGUUAGCAUAGGAGCUUGUGGAGCUCUUGACGUGGGUUCAAAUCCCGCCUCCGACC